RNAcentral lists this ribosomal RNA (253 nucleotides) under uncultured bacterium. RNAcentral's name for it is "partial 16S ribosomal RNA". It matches the Rfam family "Archaeal small subunit ribosomal RNA", at positions 474 to 727 of the family's 1478-position model. The record is from RNAcentral.
UACCUGGACCCCGAGUGGUCGGGACGUUUAUUGGGCCUAAAGCAUCCGUAGCCGGUUCUCCAAGUCUUCCGUUAAAUCCAACUGCUUAACAGGUGGGCUGCGGAAGAUACUAUAGAGCUAGGAGGCGGGAGAGGCAAGCGGUACUCGAUGGGUAGGGGUAAAAUCCGUUGAUCCAUUGAAGACCACCAGUGGCGAAGGCGGCUUGCCAGAACGCGCUCGACGGUGAGGGAUGAAAGCUGGGGGAGCAAACCGG